CCUUGUACACACCGCCCGUCACACCACGAAAGUUGGUAACACCCGAAGCCAGUUGCCUAACCGCAAGGAGGGAGCUGUCGAAGGUGGGAUCAGCGAUUGGGGUG
This 104-nucleotide ribosomal RNA is filed under the name uncultured bacterium. Its description in RNAcentral is "partial 16S ribosomal RNA". It matches the Rfam family "Bacterial small subunit ribosomal RNA", at positions 1379 to 1482 of the family's 1533-position model. The record is from RNAcentral.